UACGUAGGGGGCAAGCGUUGUCCGGAUUUAUUGGGCGUAAAGAGCGUGUAGGCGGCCAGAUAGGUCUGUUGUGAAAACUCGAGGCUCAACCUCGAGACGCCGACGGAAACCAUCUGGCUAGAGUCCGGAAGAGGAGAGUGGAAUUCCUGGUGUAGCGGUGAAAUGCGCAGAUAUCAGGAGGAACACCCGUGGCGAAAGCGGCUCUCUGGGACGGUACUGACGCUGAGACGCGAAAGCGUGGGGAGCAAACAGG
Molecule: ribosomal RNA, 253 nt
Filed under: uncultured bacterium
Lineage: Bacteria
Description: partial 16S ribosomal RNA
Rfam family: Bacterial small subunit ribosomal RNA
Source: RNAcentral